AACGAACGCUGGCGGCAGGCUUAACACAUGCAAGUCGAGCGAGACCUUCGGGUCUAGCGGCGGACGGGUGAGUAACGCGUGGGAACGUGCCCUUCUCUACGGAAUAGCCCCGGGAAACUGGGAGUAAUACCGCAUACGCCCUUUGGGGGAAAGAUUUAUCGGAGAAGGAUCGGCCCGCGUUGGAUUAGGUGGUUGGUGGGGUAAUGGCCAACCAAGCCGACGAUCCAUAGCUGGUUUGAGAGGAUGCUCAGCCACACUGGGACUGAGACACGGCCCAGACUCCUACGGGAGGCAGCAGUGGGGAAUCUUAGACAAUGGGGGCAACCCUGAUCUAGCCAUGCCGCGUGAGUGAUGAAGGCCUUAGGGUUGUAAAGCUCUUUCAGCUGGGAAGAUAAUGACGGUACCAGCAGAAGAAGCCCCGGCUAACUCCGUG
This 433-nucleotide ribosomal RNA is filed under the name uncultured bacterium. Its description in RNAcentral is "partial 16S ribosomal RNA". It matches the Rfam family "Bacterial small subunit ribosomal RNA", at positions 29 to 507 of the family's 1533-position model. The record is from RNAcentral.